GACGAACGCUGGCGGCGUGCUUAACACAUGCAAGUCGAACGCUGAAGCUUGGUGCUUGCACUGGGUGGAUGAGUGGCGAACGGGUGAGUAAUACGUGAGUAACCUGCCCUUGACUCUGGGAUAAGCCUGGGAAACUGGGUCUAAUACUGGAUAUGACAUGCCACUGCAUGGUGGUGUGUGGAAAGGGUUUUACUGGUUUUGGAUGGGCUCACGGCCUAUCAGCUUGUUGGUGGGGUAAUGCCUACCAAGGCGACGACGGGUAGCCGGCCUGAGAGGGUGACCGGCCACACUGGGACUGAGACACGGCCCAGACUCCUACGGGAGGCAGCAGUGGGGAAUAUUGCACAAUGGGCGGAAGCCUGAUGCAGCGACGCCGCGUGAGGGAUGACGGCCUUCGGGUUGUAAACCUCUUUCAGCACGGAAGAAGCGAGAGUGACGGUACGUGCAGAAGAAGCGCCGGCUAACUACGUG
This 471-nucleotide ribosomal RNA is filed under the name uncultured bacterium. RNAcentral's name for it is "partial 16S ribosomal RNA". It matches the Rfam family "Bacterial small subunit ribosomal RNA", at positions 28 to 507 of the family's 1533-position model. The record is from RNAcentral.